CCUACGGGUGGCUGCAGUGGGGAAUAUUGCACAAUGGGGGAAACCCUGAUGCAGCGACGCCGCGUGAAGGAAGAAGUAUUUCGGUAUGUAAACUUCUAUCAGCAGGGAAGAAAAUGACGGUACCUGACUAAGAAGCCCCGGCUAACUACGUGCAAGCAGCCGCGGUAAUCCGUAGGGGGCAAGCGUUAUCCGGAUUUACUGGGUGUAAAGGGAGCGUAGGCGGCGAUGCAAGUCAGAAGGGAAAGCCCGGGGCUCAACUCCGGGACUGCUUUUGAAACUGUGUUGCUAGAUUGCAGGAGAGGUAAGUGGAAUUCCUAGUGUAGCGGUGAAAUGCGUAGAUAUUAGGAGGAACACCAGUGGCGAAGGCGGCAUACUGGACUGUAAAUGACGCUGAGGCUCGAAAGCGUGGGGAGCAAACAGGAUUAGAUACCCCUGUAGUC
This 440-nucleotide ribosomal RNA is filed under the name uncultured bacterium. RNAcentral's name for it is "partial 16S ribosomal RNA". It matches the Rfam family "Bacterial small subunit ribosomal RNA", at positions 338 to 795 of the family's 1533-position model. The record is from RNAcentral.